GGAGCGAGUGGGUCUGUUGCAUUUCCCCGUCGUGGCAGGCGACGAACAUGACCGGAGCACAUUUUUAAGCACCGAGAGAAAUCCAGAUAACGAGCGUACAGUGGCUUCGAUAGAGCAAAAUACACAAAAAACUGAAACCGUGAGAAGCAAUACGUUGACAGCUCGUUUCGUUGCGGGGGUUGAAAUAUCGCUUGCUGUGCAGUGCAUUGAAGUAGCUAGCUAGCGAGCUAGCGAAAUAUUACAGCGAACGCUGGUCACAGAGCCUGCUUGGACUUCUUAAUUUCUCUCUCAAAACGAGACAUAUUUACAACUACAAAGACGUAAGCGCACGGGCUCUGGAGAUCUGCAGGGAGAGCAUCGCAAAUGAAAGGUGCAGCCUGACUGCGUGUCUCUGGGUGCGGGACUGAAGCUCUCUCUCUCUCUCUCUCUCCGCGUCUGAUGUCCUGCGUGAGGGUUGCCAUGGAGACCGCAGCAGACUGACGCGCUGUGACCUCCGACCUGCGACCUGCGACCUGCGAAUGCCCAGUGCGCAUCCGAGGGUGGGGCCCGCCUCAGUCUCGCGUGAUUGGCUGCUGGAUGGAACUGAGGUGAAUGGAACACAUGCCCAAGGAGCAGGACCCUAACCUAUCAGAGGGAGAAGAGAA
Molecule: long non-coding RNA, 644 nt
Organism: Conger conger (European conger)
Lineage: Eukaryota; Metazoa; Chordata; Actinopteri; Anguilliformes; Congridae
Exons: 3
Source: RefSeq, a predicted model, not a curated record